AGCUUGUCGGCGCCAUUUUGUCUCGGCAGCGGUGGCCGUAGCUCCAUCGCAUUUUAUGUUUCUGGCGAGAAGGGAACGGAGUUUUCAUCAGGUAGAUUGGUUUUUGUGCGGCCGUCCUCCACCGUUUCCUCCAGGACAGCACCUAGUCGUGGCCGGAGGAGUCUCAGAGCUGUCAGAAAGAAUAAGACUGAUUUUAUGGGAAAAUUAAGCAGAUGCUCCAGUUUGAGAAACCUGGAUCUGCGAUCUGUUUGUGAGUGGUAUUCAGUUAAGAGAACAAUUAUUUCGUAUAAGCCACAUCAGAGACGACUGAAGAUGAAAAAACUACCAUCCCCGUAUAUAACUAAUUUGUGCUGUGCACCAACAAGAACCUGCUUUAAAUUUCCAUGGCAAUUUACAACCCCCAUACUGUACCAGGCAAGGUACCAGCAUCAAGAUGAUUUAUGGUAAUAAGAUAUAAAACCAAGGAAAAUAACCUAAAGUCUGAAAAAGACCAGAAUCGAAGUUUCCUGAUUCAUAUUUUAAUGUUUUGAAAUUUAUACUCCAGGCUGGGUGCAGUGGCUUGUGCCUGUAAUCCCAGCACUUUGGGAGGCCGAGGCGGCCGGAUUGCCUGAAGUCAGAAGUUCGAGACCAGCCUGACCAACAUGGUGAAACCCUGUCUCUACUUAAAAAUACAAAAGAGCUGGGCAUGGAGGUGGUGCGCGCCUGUAACCCUAGCUACUCGGGAGGCUGAGGCCUAAGAAU
Long non-coding RNA from Homo sapiens (human), 741 nucleotides. Ensembl annotates it as PSMA3 antisense RNA 1. Its record names the gene PSMA3-AS1. The record is from Ensembl. Lineage: Eukaryota; Metazoa; Chordata; Mammalia; Primates; Hominidae.